This 432-nucleotide ribosomal RNA is filed under the name uncultured bacterium. Its description in RNAcentral is "partial 16S ribosomal RNA". It matches the Rfam family "Bacterial small subunit ribosomal RNA", at positions 29 to 507 of the family's 1533-position model. The record is from RNAcentral.
ACGAACGCUGGCGGCAUGCCUAACACAUGCAAGUCGAACGAGACCUUCGGGUCUAGUGGCGCACGGGUGCGUAACGCGUGGGAACCUGCCCUUAGGUUCGGAAUAACUCCCCGAAAGGGGUGCUAAUACCGGAUAAUGUCUUCGGACCAAAGAUUUAUCGCCUUUGGAUGGGCCCGCGUUGGAUUAGCUAGUUGGUAGGGUAAAAGCCUACCAAGGCGACGAUCCAUAGCUGGUCUGAGAGGAUGAUCAGCCACACUGGGACUGAGACACGGCCCAGACUCAUACGGGAGGCAGCAGUGGGGAAUAUUGGACAAUGGGCGAAAGCCUGAUCCAGCAAUGCCGCGUGAGUGAUGAAGGCCUUAGGGUUGUAAAGCUCUUUUACCCGGGAUGAUAAUGACAGUACCGGGAGAAUAAGCUCCGGCUAACUCCGUG